AACAAACGCUGGCGGCGUGCCUAACACAUGCAAGUCGAACGAGAAAGUCGGUUUCGGCCGAUGAGUAAAGUGGCGCACGGGUGCGUAACGCGUGGGAAUCUGCCCUUGGGUUCGGAAUAACUCAGAGAAAUUUGAGCUAAUACCGGAUGAUGACGUAAGUCCAAAGAUUUAUCGCCCAAGGAUGAGCCCGCGUAAGAUUAGCUUGUUGGUAGGGUAAUGGCCUACCAAGGCGACGAUCUUUAGCUGGUCUGAGAGGAUGAUCAGCCACACUGGGACUGAGACACGGCCCAGACUCCUACGGGAGGCAGCAGUGGGGAAUAUUGGACAAUGGGCGAAAGCCUGAUCCAGCAAUGCCGCGUGAGUGAUGAAGGCCUUAGGGUUGUAAAGCUCUUUUACCAGGGAUGAUAAUGACAGUACCUGGAGAAUAAGCUCCGGCUAACUCCGUG
Molecule: ribosomal RNA, 446 nt
Filed under: uncultured bacterium
Lineage: Bacteria
Description: bacterial SSU rRNA
Rfam family: Bacterial small subunit ribosomal RNA
Source: RNAcentral